RNAcentral lists this ribosomal RNA (414 nucleotides) under Triticum aestivum (bread wheat). Its description in RNAcentral is "partial small subunit ribosomal RNA". Lineage: Eukaryota; Viridiplantae; Streptophyta; Magnoliopsida; Poales; Poaceae. The record is from RNAcentral.
AUGCAAGAAAUUGUUUGUGGGUGUAUGGGAAAGGAUGGGGUGGAGAACAUGAGGUCUUGCCGAUGCGAGAGUCCUGCACUGAUACAACAGUUGCGCUCAAAAGACCAUUUGUCGUCUCCUAUGUACAAACAAACAAUACACUGGCCCUCCCACAAUGUGUACAGUAAGGAUUUGGUUGAGCAGCAGCGGCAGGACAAUGUGAACCUUGCAAAGGUCUACAUCAUUAUUGGCAGUUUUUUUGGAUCUAUGAAAAGAAUACCUUUCACGAAAAGAGCUUUGAAGAAUUUGUGUGGUAGAAUAAGCAGAGAGCAAGGAGAGGAUGAUGUGAGAAAAACCAUGGAGGCUUUUGCAGAACUGGUUCAAGAGAUCCACACUUUACAUAUUGUGUGCAUGUUGACAAAGAUCGACAGAUAA